RNAcentral lists this long non-coding RNA (324 nucleotides) under Mytilus galloprovincialis (Mediterranean mussel). Lineage: Eukaryota; Metazoa; Mollusca; Bivalvia; Mytilida; Mytilidae. The record is from RNAcentral.
UAUUGACCUCAAUAACAUUUUCAUAACUUUUUUAUUAUUCCUUCAUGUUAGUGUGUUUUGUCCUUUUUUGAUACAGUUAAUGUCCAGGGGUCGGUAUUACGAAGCAUUCCUAAGACCUGUCAUAAGAUAUAUAAUAGGACAUGUCUUAUGAUCCUCUUAUGACUAUCUAUGGACAUAUCUUUAUUUGAUGAAUUAUAAUUGUGAGUGUCCAAUUUGAAGGCAAUAGUAAAAUACUUUCAUUCUAGUUGAUACUAAAAGACAUAAGAGGAUAGCCAGGAUAUAGAUGUGUCUACAAAUAAAUUUGGGAAUUGAAAUGGGGUAUGU